RNAcentral lists this ribosomal RNA (873 nucleotides) under uncultured bacterium. RNAcentral describes it as "bacterial SSU rRNA". It matches the Rfam family "Bacterial small subunit ribosomal RNA", at positions 621 to 1501 of the family's 1533-position model. The record is from RNAcentral.
CUGCAUCCAAAACUAUUUAGCUAGAGUGUGGGAGCGGAAGAUGGAGUUAGUUGUGUAGGGGUAAGAUCCGUAGAGAUAACUAGGAAUACCAAAAGCGAAGGCAAUCUUAUGGAACAUUCCUGGCGCUGAGGCGGGACAGAGUGGGGAGCAAACAGGAUGAGAUAGGAGCGGUAGUCCUCGCCCUAACCGAUGAAUGUUAGUCGUCGGGUAGCUAGUGUAUUCGGUGAUGCAGCUAACGCAUUAAACAUUCCGACUGUGGAGUACGGUCGCGAGAUUACAACUCAAAGGAAUAGACGGGGACCCGCGCAAGUGGUGGAGCAUGUGGUUUAAUUUGAAGAUUCGCGAAGAACCUUACCUAGCCUUGACAUAUUUAAGACAUCCGUAGAGAUACAGAGGUGCCUUCGGGAGCUUUCUUACAGGUGCUGCACAACAGUCGUCAGCUGGUGUCGUGAGAUGUUGGGUUAAGUCCCGCAACGAGCGCAACCCUCGUCACUAGUUACUAACGGUUCGGCCGAGGACUUUAGUGAGACUGCCUUCGUAAGGAGGAGGAAGGUGAGGAGGAGGUCAAGUCAUCAAGGCCCUUACGGCUAGGGCAACACACGUCAUACAAUGGCCAGGACACUGAGACGCGAGACCGAGAGGUGGAGCAAAUCUAUAAACUAGGUCUCAGUUCGGAUUGUAGUCUGCAACUCGAAUACAUGAAGCUGGAAUCAGUAGUAAUCGUAGAUCAAGAAUGGUACGGUGAAUACGUUCCCGGGUCUUGUACUCUACGCCCGUCACACCAUGGGAGUUGAUUUCACCCGAAGCGGGGAAGGUAAACUGGCUACCCUCCACGGUGCGAUUAACGCCCGGGUGAAGUCGUAACAAGCAACC